CCUUGCCCAUCACCGACAUUUUGGUGGAUUUAUAGUUUUCCCCUAUGAUUUUUCAAUUUCUCUAACUUCUAACCCAAAUCCUCUCUCCCUAAACUUGCUUCUUUGUGUUGUUUACAUUUUUUUUCGCUUUCUUAUGUAUUGCAUGCAAGCAGAGCCUCUUCACCUACCUCUUUGAUUAUGGUAGCUUCCUCACUAGGGCGGCGGCGCUAGGUGCUAUCCCUGAG
RNAcentral lists this long non-coding RNA (224 nucleotides) under Manihot esculenta (cassava). RNAcentral's name for it is "long non-coding RNA (MESC_LNC005801)". The record is from RNAcentral. Lineage: Eukaryota; Viridiplantae; Streptophyta; Magnoliopsida; Malpighiales; Euphorbiaceae.